UCCUUUUCAAAUAUCAAAAGAAAAAUUGAAAAGAAAAUAGUUCAUUUUUCCCUUGAACCAGAAUGAACUAUGAAGAAAAGAGGAAGACAAAACAGCUCUAAGAUCUCUUCUCUCUCUCUCUCUCUCUCUCUCUCUCUCUCUCUCUCUCUCUCACAAUCAUUAUGAAAUCCUUUGGUGAGUACAUGGAAAGAGGAAUUAAGACAAAUAACCUUGAAGAACUGCAUAAGAUAAUUCAUGCUGUCAUCUGUGCUGAUCUCACAGUGAAGAAUCUGAUAAGGAAGCACCCAAGGACACUAUAAACGUUUAUGGAAGUGGAGUGAGAAGAUGGAAGUGAGUAAGAGACCGAGAGACUUAGGAGUGGAAAAGGAUCCCGGGAACAGUUGGAUUGAGCUUAACAAUAGAGUUCAUGGAUUUUCUGUUAGAGAUAAAACUCAUCCUCAUUGUACCAUGAUAGAUGCAAUUUUGGAGUUCCAUGGAGAUUCCCCUUGGUCUAAUUCCAUGCCUUAUGAUGAAAGGGGAGUCGGCAUGGCGUAAAGUGAAGAUUAAGGGAAGUAGAGUAAAAUCCCUUUUGGGGUAUUCUGUAGCUACUGUUUCACUGGCUUUAGUAUUCACUGGCUUUCAAGGAAUGGAAUAUUAUCAAGCACCAUUCACUAUUUCAAAUAGUAUUUAUGGUUCUACCUUUUUCUUA
Ziziphus jujuba (common jujube) is the source of this 688-nucleotide long non-coding RNA. RefSeq lists it as uncharacterized. The transcript has 3 exons. NCBI's taxonomy places the organism in Eukaryota, Viridiplantae, Streptophyta, Magnoliopsida, Rosales, Rhamnaceae. The record is from RefSeq and is a predicted model, not a curated record.